GUGCCAGCAGCCGCGGUAAUUCCAGCUCCAAUAGCGUAUAUUAAAGUUGUUGUGGUUAAAAAGCUCGUAGUUGAACCUUGGGCCUGGCUGGCCGGUCCGCCUCACCGCGUGCACUGGUCCGGCCGGGCCUUUCCCUCUGUGGAACCCCAUACCCUUCACUGGGCGUGGCGGGGAAACAGGACAUUUACUUUGAAAAAAUUAGAGUGCUCCAGGCAGGCCUAUGCUCGAAUACAUUAGCAUGGAAUAAUAAAAUAGGACGCGCGGUUCUAUUUUGUUGGUUUAUAGGACCGCCGUAAUGAUUAAUAGGGACAGUCGGGGGCAUCAGUAUUCAACUGUCAGAGGUGAAAUUCUUGGAUCAGUUGAAGACUAACUACUGCGAAAGCAUUUGCCAAGGAUGUUUUCAUUAAUCAGGAACGAAAGUUAGGGGAUCGAAGACGAUCAGAUACCGUCGUAGUCUUAACCAUAAACUAUGCCGACUAGGGAUCGGACGGUGUUAUUCAUGACCCGUUCGGCACCUUACGAGAAAUCAAAGUGCUUGGGCUCCAGGGGGAGUAUGGUCGCAAGGCUGAAACUUAAAGAAAUUGACGGAAGGGCACCACCAGGGGUGGAGCCUGCGGCUUAAUUUGACUCAACACGGGGAAACUCACCAGGUCCAGACACAAUUAAGGAUUGACAGAUUGAGAGCUCUUUUCUUGAUUUUGUGGGUGGUGUGCAUGGCCGUUCUUAGUUGGUGGGGUGACUUGUCUGCUUAAUUGCGAUACGAACGAGACCUUAUCUGCUAAAUAGCCCGCAUUGCUCCGGCAGUGCGCUGGCUUCUUAGAGGGACUUCCGGCUCCAAGCCGAA
RNAcentral lists this ribosomal RNA (844 nucleotides) under uncultured fungus. RNAcentral's name for it is "SSU rRNA". It matches the Rfam family "Eukaryotic small subunit ribosomal RNA", at positions 564 to 1438 of the family's 1831-position model. The record is from RNAcentral. Lineage: Eukaryota; Fungi.